CUGGGCUGUAGCUCAGUGGCAGAGUGCUUGCCUAGAAUGUAUGAGGCACUGAGUUCAAUCCUUAGCACUACAAAAAAAAAAAAAAAAACAACUAAACAAAGAAAGGCAUGCUGUUGAUCUAAAACUAUUUAAAAGAGAAAGAAAGAAAGAAAGAAAAGCUGUGCCUCUUGAAUAGUUAGUCCCAAUGAGAAUGCAAGGGAAAUGUUCAUAAAGAAAAUUAAAGUGCUGCUCCAGGGC
RNAcentral lists this long non-coding RNA (237 nucleotides) under Marmota monax (woodchuck). The stretch from base 2 to 73 matches the Rfam family "tRNA". The record is from RNAcentral. Lineage: Eukaryota; Metazoa; Chordata; Mammalia; Rodentia; Sciuridae.